UACGUAGGGUGCGAGCGUUGUCCGGAAUUACUGGGCGUAAAGAGCGCGCAGGUGGUUGAUUAAGUCUGAUGUGAAAGCCCACGGCUUAACCGUGGAGGGUCAUUGGAAACUGGUCGACUUGAGUGCAGAAGAGGGAAGUGGAAUUCCAUGUGUAGCGGUGAAAUGCGUAGAGAUAUGGAGGAACACCAGUGGCGAAGGCGGCUUCCUGGUCUGUAACUGACACUGAGGCGCGAAAGCGUGGGGAGCAAACAGGAUUAGAUA
RNAcentral lists this ribosomal RNA (261 nucleotides) under uncultured prokaryote. RNAcentral's name for it is "partial 16S ribosomal RNA". It matches the Rfam family "Bacterial small subunit ribosomal RNA", at positions 524 to 784 of the family's 1533-position model. The record is from RNAcentral.